GGGGGCGUAAAGGUUUCGACGGGGAUUUUGAACCAUGAACAGCGAGCAGCGGCGCGGGACCGCUUUAUAAAUGCCGCAAUUUUAUAAAUUAAACAACAACAAUAACGUUGCACUCGCUGCUUAAUUAAGCAGCCGUCCUGCCGGUGAGCACCGCGGCUCCGGUUUGGGCGUCACACAGCGGUGAACGUGAACUCCGCCUUGCUCCGAGCGGGGUCAUGACCUUGGGGCUACCGAAACUGCAAGCCUGUUAACCGGCGUGUGGAAACAGACAACAGUUGUUUUCUGUUAGGGGAAUCGUAAAAGAUUAACUACGCUCGUAGAAAUUUAUGGGAAUGAGUUUUCGGACGCGGGUUCAACUCCCGCCGCCUCCACCA
RNAcentral lists this transfer-messenger RNA (374 nucleotides) under Oscillospiraceae bacterium. It matches the Rfam family "transfer-messenger RNA". From Rfam's summary of the family: Bacterial tmRNA, also known as 10Sa RNA or SsrA, is named for its dual tRNA and mRNA-like properties. Its role is to liberate the mRNA from a stalled ribosome. To accomplish this part of the tmRNA is used as a reading frame that ends in a translation stop signal. The record is from RNAcentral. Lineage: Bacteria; Bacillati; Bacillota; Clostridia; Eubacteriales; Oscillospiraceae.